Molecule: ribosomal RNA, 386 nt
Filed under: uncultured bacterium
Lineage: Bacteria
Description: bacterial SSU rRNA
Rfam family: Bacterial small subunit ribosomal RNA
Source: RNAcentral
AUUGAACGCUGGCGGCAUGCCUUACACAUGCAAGUCGAACGGCAGCACGGGAGCAAUCCUGGUGGCGAGUGGCGAACGGGUGAGUAAUAUAUCGGAACGUGCCCAGUCGUGGGGAUAACGUAGCGAAAGCUACGCUAAUACCGCAUACGAUCUAUGGAUGAAAGCGGGGGAUCGCAAGACCUCGCGCGAUUGGAGCGGCCGAUAUCAGAUUAGGUAGUUGGUGAGGUAAAGGCUCACCAAGCCGACGAUCUGUAGCUGGUCUGAGAGGACGACCAGCCACAAUGGGACUGAGACACGGCCCAGACUCCUACGGGAGGCAGCAGUGGGGGAAUUUUGGACAAUGGGCGCAAGCCUGAUCCAGCAAUGCCGCGUGCAGGAUGAAGGCC